Molecule: ribosomal RNA, 995 nt
Filed under: uncultured bacterium
Lineage: Bacteria
Description: bacterial SSU rRNA
Rfam family: Bacterial small subunit ribosomal RNA
Source: RNAcentral
UGGGGAAUAUUGCACAAUGGGGGAAACCCUGAUGCAGCGACGCCGCGUGGAGGAAGAAGGUCUUCGGAUUGUAAACUCCUGUUGUUGAGGAAGAUAAUGACGGUACUCAACAAGGAAGUGACGGCUAACUACGUGCCAGCAGCCGCGGUAAAACGUAGGUCACAAGCGUUGUCCGGAAUUACUGGGUGUAAAGGGAGCGCAGGCGGGAAGACAAGUUGGAAGUGAAAUCCAUGGGCUCAACCCAUGAACUGCUUUCAAAACUGUUUUUCUUGAGUAGUGCAGAGGUAGGCGGAAUUCCCGGUGUAGCGGUGGAAUGCGUAGAUAUCGGGAGGAACACCAGUGGCGAAGGCGGCCUACUGGGCACCAACUGACGCUGAGGCUCGAAAGUGUGGGUAGCAAACAGGAUUAGAUACCCUGGUAGUCCACACCGUAAACGAUGAUUACUAGGUGUUGGGAGAUUGACCCUCUCAGUGCCGCAGUUAACACAAUAAGUAAUCCACCUGGGGAGUACGACCGCAAGGUUGAAACUCAAAGGAAUUGACGGGGGCCCGCACAAGCAGUGGAGUAUGUGGUUUAAUUCGACGCAACGCGAAGAACCUUACCAAGUCUUGACAUCCCUUGACGAUGCUGGAAACAGUAUUUCUCUUCGGAGCAAGGAGACAGGUGGUGCAUGGUUGUCGUCAGCUCGUGUCGUGAGAUGUUGGGUUAAGUCCCGCAACGAGCGCAACCCUUAUGGUCAGUUACUACGCAAGAGGACUCUGGCCAGACUGCCGUUGACAAAACGGAGGAAGGUGGGGAUAACGUCAAAUCAUCAUGCCCUUUAUGACCUGGGCUACACACGUACUACAAUGGCGUUAAACAAAGAGAAGCAAGACCGCGAGGUGGAGCAAAACUCAAAAACAACGUCUCAGUUCAGAUUGCAGGCUGCAACUCGCCUGCAUGAAGUCGGAAUUGCUAGUAAUCGCGGAUCAGCAUGCCGCGGUGAAUACGUUCCC